ACCAAAUCCAAGACACUCACACCGGCUCUGGGGAACUUCUCUUUCUGAGGGCAUUCAAUGGCAUAAUGUCUUCUAUCCUAGGAGCUUAUGCAAAUAGGGUCCUCCCUCUACUGAUAAGACAGCCUUGUCCUGAACCUGCAGCUCUGGCAGCGGAGUCCCAGCCCCAGGAUCCCCAGGUGCUCCCAUUCUGUGAUCAGGACUGAACACAGACCACAUGCCAUGGAGUCUGGGCUGAGCUGGGUGGUCCUUGCGGCUCUUUUACAAGGUGUCCAGGGUGAGGGGCAGCUGGUGGAGUCUGGAGGAGGCCUGGUGCAGCCUGUGGGUCUCUGAGACUCUCCUGUGCAGACUCUGGGUUCACCUUCAGUGGCUUCUACAUGCACUGGGUCUUCCAGGCUCCCGGGAAGUGACUGGAGUAGGUGGCAGGUAUUAGCAGUCAUGGCGGUAGCACCUACUAUGCAGACUCUGUGAAGGGCUGAUUCACCAUCUCCAGAGACAACGCUGAGAACACACUGUAUCUGCAGAUGAACAGCCUGAGAACUGAAGACACGGCCCGGUAUUACUGUGCGAAAGACACAGUGAGGGGAAGGCUGUGUGAGCCCAGACACAAACCUCCCUGCAGGGACACAGGGCCUGGGCUGCAGGGGGCACUCAGGACCCAGAGGUGUUUGUUUCAUGCCCAGGAGCAGGUGCAGAGGGAAGUUAAGGGCUGGUUUCCUGCCAGGGUCUGGGGCUUCCUCUCCCUGUGGCAUCUCCCCAAGGGAAUCCCUCUGCACUCAUGAUUCUCUACACACUAUUCAGUCUCUGAAGGAGAAAGGAGUGUUGGAAUAGGGGAAAUAUUCUCACAUGCAUAAAAGUUAGGGAGACACUAUAUGUUGUUUCAUCCUUCUCUUAAUAUCUUUAAGUAACUCUUCAUGACCGCUGGUGAAUCUACAAAAGAGGGUCCAUUGGACUCAGCCAGGGAGCUCAACACAGCAGAUCCAGCGACCCAGCAGCUAGCAGCAACAUCAUAAAGUGCACACUGGACAGCAGACAUCAGCAGGUUCCAAACCGAAAGCAAGAGAAGCAACUCCCCUCGGUGGUCGUGGUUCCCCUGACACCUCACUCACAGCCUCCAAGCUAGUUUCCUCCGUGCCAAUGCACAGGGACCCCCACUGCAGCUUGCGGGAGAAGUUGAGUCUGAGGACACCCCACACAGUGAGGCAAGGAGUGUGAGCAGUUUAUCGCAUCCGUCACUGAGGUGUCUGUUGAGAGCAGGGACGUCCCGUGCAGUACAUCCUGGGGAAGGACAGAGCCACCUGAUGUUCAUGCCAAUUAUUAUCGACAGGAUUAGGAUCCUCCUUCUCACGCCCUCCUACAAACAGGUCUCGCCUGGGCCAGGGCCCAGAUUCUGGCCUGCUCUUCACGGGUGCAGCAAGACCCCUUUCAAGACCGCAUGACUGUCUUGCCAGGUCAAGUCAAAGGCUAUGUACGGUAAGGGCCCGAACUUCUCUGAUCAAAGUGGCAGCGUCCUGGCUGCAGGAGCCUCGUUUGUUCCGCGUAUGACAGAGCGAGCAGACAUGGGCACCGGAACCCGGGCCCCCGAGAGCGCCCCAGGCUCCACUGUCAAAUUCCCAAAGGGGGAGCGCCGUGGGGCCCGGCUCAUGGUGAUGCGCCCUCCGUGACCUGGUGCAGGGAGCGGAACGAGGGCUCCUCUCUGGGGACGCAGGUGGGACCUGAAGUGCUGAGGCUCAGUGCCGGAGGCUGGUGAGAUCGAGGACGGGUAGGCUCAUCUAGACUAGCUGGCGGGAAGGGGUGGGUGGGGUGGGGGGCACCAGGCGAUAGAGUAGGAGAGAGACACAUACAGCGGGAGUCCCUCAAACCUAGACUUUGGCUGAGGGCCCUAGAGCCUUGGACAUUGGGAACCUCCGACCAUUUUCCACGUCAGCGUGUCUGGGUCAGAUUGCUUCCAGCUGUUGAGAAUACAGCCAAGGCGAGAGGCUGCAGGGGGCUCCCGGGAUGUACCAGAACCCAUUCUUAGCCUCCACGCAGUAGUAUAGGGGUACUCAGAGCCACCGACUGGCCAAAGGUGUGCCUUAUUGUCUCAGCGACGUCUCCGAGGCACUAAGGCGCAAAGCUGCAACCGUCUCCACAGUCGUGUCUGGCUUGGGGGAGGUGGCCAGAGAAGCGGGGACCUGUGCCACUAGGGCACCACGGGAAUUCCCAGGAACCAGCUGAGGCUGACUCGCUUUUCACAGAGCCCCUGGGAUGUGCCUUAUGGUCCUACUGGGGAGGCGGUGGCCAGCGACAAGGGACUCUGAGUUUGCUUUGAGCACUAAGUGCCUCUUGUUGCAAAGAACUUAUCUUGAUGGGGGCAGAUGCUCUCAUAGCCUGGUCCCUUCUCUGUCCCCCUUGUCCUCUCACAGGUGUCUUCGAGGGGCAGGCAGCCCUGAGGACUCUUAACUGCCUGCACGGUACUAGCUGUCCCGGUCCGCAGCUGGGAGGGAAAAAGAAAGGAGGAAGCCUCACCCAUCAGGUGGCCGGUACUAAGGUGCAGAGAUGCGCUUGGUGCAGAGGGAUGACCUCCUCAUCAUCACGGAGCCCAAGUGCAUGGUCAUGUCUGUCGUUAUCGCCCAUGGAGAGAAGAGGUCUUAAGAUGCACCUGCUGACCUGCUGAUAGAUUGGGGAAAGAAGUGUCUGAUGCUACACUUGCUACAUGGUUGGGGGCUUAUCAAAGCCCCCAUAGGGGAGAGCAGGAGAUCCGCACAGGCGCAGGCGGAAACUAUCAGCUCCUGGGAGAGGACCACGCAGACAGAGUAGGGGAAACAGCCCUGGGGCUCCCACUCAGGAAGCUUUUCUCCUCUCGUUGGUUGAGAACGAAUAGAGUGUAACCAUCACCUGGGACAGUGGGGAAUGUUUUACUCAGUAAGCCCAACAAAGCUUCAAGACAAAAACCCAAAAGACCAAAGUUUGCAAAUGAGUUUCCUGCUAGCCACCUCAAGACACAUAUACUGGUAAGACUUAAAACAUUUCUUUCUCAGCACCUAUAAGAAGCAAAAUGGACAGGGUCUAGCCCCAGCCACCAAAGAAGAAGGGAGAAGGGGUGCUCGUAACGAGGAAAAUAGCAGUCUGUGGGACGUGACCCAGAAGUCCCUGGGUGAUAGAAUCGAUAGGGUUGCUGAUCGUGUUACAGGCACACACGGAGUCUCCAGUCACUGGGAGAAAGAGUGAACGCGUUGAACAGAGACAGGCCUCUGCUUCCCUCUCCCUUCGGGAGUCAGUGUCAGCACCCUAGACACAGCCCUGCCACCUCCCCCAGGGCAGUUCCUGCUGGGUGAAUGUCCAGGCCCUGCCUGCCUCCCCCUGUGACUGUUACCUAAUGCGGUGCACCAGCAAACCCACUAGCAUCCAAGUACAUGGAAGUGAGUGGGUAUUUCUGUGAUCCGAAGUCUCGUUUAAGUGUCCCUUCAUGUUCACCAGUUGAGCAGCAGAAUACCCUAGGAGUGACACAGCAGUGGACCAGAGUAUCUUCAAUGCAGACUGAACUUUGGAAACUAGAAGGCGUUUCAGAGCUUGUUUGCAGCGUUCUGUCAAUUUUCUACUGUACAGCAAGGUGACCCCGUCACACAU
This is a non-coding RNA of Sus scrofa (pig), 3606 nucleotides long. NCBI's taxonomy places the organism in Eukaryota, Metazoa, Chordata, Mammalia, Artiodactyla, Suidae. The record is from RefSeq and is a predicted model, not a curated record.